This 253-nucleotide ribosomal RNA is filed under the name uncultured bacterium. RNAcentral describes it as "partial 16S ribosomal RNA". It matches the Rfam family "Bacterial small subunit ribosomal RNA", at positions 524 to 776 of the family's 1533-position model. The record is from RNAcentral.
UACGUAGGGUGCGAGCGUUGUCCGGAAUUAUUGGGCGUAAAGAGCUCGUGGGCGGUUUGUUGCGUCGGCCGUGAAAACUCAGGGCUUAACUCUGAGCCUGCGGUCGAUACGGGCAGACUUGAGUUCGGUAGGGGAGACUGGAAUUCCUGGUGUAGCGGUGAAAUGCGCAGAUAUCAGGAGGAACACCGGUGGCGAAGGCGGGUCUCUGGGCAGUAACUGACGCUGAGGAGCGAAAGCGUGGGGAGCGAACAGG